Molecule: transfer RNA, 75 nt
Filed under: Candidatus Aenigmatarchaeota archaeon
Lineage: Archaea; Nanobdellati; Candidatus Aenigmatarchaeota
Description: tRNA-Arg
Rfam family: tRNA
About the family: Transfer RNA (tRNA) molecules are approximately 80 nucleotides in length.
Source: RNAcentral
GGGCGUGUAGCUCAGCUUGGAUAGAGCAUCUGCCUUCUAAGCAGGGGGUCGCGCGUUCGAAUCGCGUCACGCCCA